CCCACUGACUGAGCCACCCAGGAACCCCUAUUAGGUAUCAUUUGUAUUGAAAGUGUUUAUAGAUCUAAUACAGAAGGUCAACUGCAGAGAUUUCCUAGAGGUAAGUUGUAAAAUGAAAUAACGGAAACUCCAACAAAUGUUUUAACUUUUCUUUCAUUUCUGUUUGACUUCUGAACCUAUGAUGAUUCCAUCAGAAUAUUCCAGAGUUGUGAAUGUACCUAAUUCAUUUCUUUCGUACUAGCAUUCUAGCUUUGAGUAAGUUAUAAUUAUGGACACUUUAGUAUAAGGCAGAGACUUGUGCUCCCUGUGCAAUUCUGGCUUCCAUUUCUGGCUCACUGCCACUCUCUCCUGUGGCAAAGACCCAGAAGCCUGGGAACAGAAGAAAUACACUAUCAGUUCUCAUCACACCAACCUGGCUUUUUGCCACUUUCAGCUGAGAGCACCUGAAAAAUAACAACCAGGUUAGCUGCCAUUUUAUUGACCUGGGGAAAAGGAAAAAGCCAAAUGGGCAAACUAUUCCUUAUUUAAACCGAAUUCAGUUCAAUCCAUCACACAUUUUUGAAAGCGCGUUCUGUGACUGGCACAAAGCAUGCAGAAAUGAACAGGGGUUUGCUUCAGACGAGGCAGGUGCUUACAAUAUAUCGCGAUUAGGGAGCUUUCAGUUGUAUGUACAGAUAAGCAGUAGUGUCUCAUUAUUACCCCAAUGAGAGGAUCAUUUGUCCAUCCGUAUUAGACCUCACAGCCCCUUUGUUAUGUCAGAACUUGGCAUGAAACACUGAAUGCUCUCUGCAGUUCCACAGAGGGCACUAGAACAGCCAGUAGGAAGUGGUGGACUUUUCUAACAGUCUUGCACUCUUGGAGUGUCUGGCAGCCAAUGACAUUAAAGGUAUUAACAGUCUAACCCUCUUAGGUUUGGGAUUGGCAGGACACCAUUUUACUAGUUAGUAGAAAACCCGCUAAUACAAAGACUGUUUAAAAAUAUCAAUAGCGAACUUGCAUGAGGAGCUGUCAUGGUAAGAAGCCAUCCUUGCAGACCAGGGAACAGAGGAACUACUGAUCAUUUAUCAUUCUACCACCUGCCUCCUCUUAUCACAUUUUCACAAUCUAGAGUGUGAAAAGAAAUCUAGGCAUCAUAAGACAUAAUAACUCCCAGUACAGUUUCUCUUUCAAAGAAUUGAAUGGCAAUUCCCUGCCAUAGCAAGAGAAGAUUUAAAGAUACAGAUGUGUGCAAGCUCUUUGGGAAGCUGUUACGUGACCUCUAAGGUGCAGUGAUCUUUUGCUUGUACUAGCUACCUCCCUAUUCAGCGUACCCACAGGAUGCUGUGUGAAGUUCUGGAUAGAUGGAAAAAAUGUCAUGUCUGAAAGUAUAGAUUCUGGCAUCAGACUGCCCGAACUUGAAUUCUUGCUCUGCCCUUUUACUAGCAAUGUGACUGAGAGUGGGAUGCUAUAAACCGGAGCUGACACUACCAGCAAAAGGACUCCAGCAGUUUCUAGAGAAACUACGACGUGAAGAGGGGGAAAAAGAUGGAACCCGUGAGCCAUACCUACCUCUACAACCUCUGCCAAUGCCUGCAGCUCCAGAAUCUUCACUUCCCUGGCUGGGCCCAGGCAAGUUUUGUGCUUAAUUUGGGACAACAGAAUGGAGGAAAAAAGGACUUUUAGGAUCAGUGGGUCCAUUUCUGCAAAAUGGCAGAGGAACUAUUGAUACAGUUGCAUUGGAUAUGUAAAUCAUUGGGAUUCCCAGCUGAGGGAGCCAGUGACCUAAUUCUGCUCAGUUCUAAUGCAACACGGGAGUGAAUUCAGAAUAUCUCGGUACUGGCCUUGCUGGGAUUGCAGAACCCCAAAGUCAUUCUCCUGAUGCAGAGAUGCCACCAGAAUCAAACAGGCCACAAGUUUGCUAACCUGAAGGUCAAUCCUCUGUAAGAACUCCUGCAGAGUCUUGGGUUUUUCCUUUCCACUCCUUCGGUGUGCCUUUAUUUUCUUGGGGGCUGCUUCCUCUUCUGAGAUGACAUCCACAUAAAUAAAUUUGAAGUUUCCCACCUUA
This is a long non-coding RNA of Felis catus (domestic cat), 2044 nucleotides long. RefSeq lists it as uncharacterized. The record is from RefSeq and is a predicted model, not a curated record. NCBI's taxonomy places the organism in Eukaryota, Metazoa, Chordata, Mammalia, Carnivora, Felidae. The transcript is spliced from 9 exons.